Molecule: ribosomal RNA, 253 nt
Filed under: uncultured bacterium
Lineage: Bacteria
Description: partial 16S ribosomal RNA
Rfam family: Bacterial small subunit ribosomal RNA
Source: RNAcentral
UACGUAGGGGGCUAGCGUUGUCCGGAAUCAUUGGGCGUAAAGAGCGUGUAGGCGGCCCGGUAAGUCCGCUGUGAAAGUCGGGGGCUCAACCCUCGGAUGCCGGUGGAUACUGUCGGGCUCGAGUACGGAAGAGGCGAGUGGAAUUCCUGGUGUAGCGGUGAAAUGCGCAGAUAUCAGGAGGAACACCUAUUGCGAAGGCAGCUCGCUGGGACGUUACUGACGCUGAGAGACGAAAGCUAGGGGAGCGAAUGGG